CCUACGGGUGGCAGCAGUGAGGAAUAUUGGUCAAUGGGCGAGAUCCUGAACCAGCCACGUAGCGUGAAGGAUGACUGCCCUAUGGGUUGUAAACUUCUUUUAUAUAGGAAUUAAUUACUCUAUGUAUCGUAUUUUGUAUGUCUCAUAUGAAUAAGGCUCGGCUAACUCCGUGCCAGCAGCAGCGGUAAUACGGAGGAUCCGAGCGUUAGCCGGAUUUAUUGGGGUUAAAGAGGGCGUAGGUGGAUUGUUAAGUCAGUUGUGAAAGUUUACGGCUUAACCGUAAAAUUGCAGUUGAAACUGGUAGUCUUGAGUAUAGUAGAGGUAGGUGGAAUUCGUGGUGUAGCGGUGAAAUGCUUAGAGAUCACGAAGAAUUCUGAUUGCGAAGGCAGCCUACUGGA
Molecule: ribosomal RNA, 398 nt
Filed under: uncultured bacterium
Lineage: Bacteria
Description: partial 16S ribosomal RNA
Rfam family: Bacterial small subunit ribosomal RNA
Source: RNAcentral